AGUCACUGACAUUAGAUACCCGUGUAGUCCAGGGUGUAAACGCUGCAGACUUGGUGUUGGGGACCCUUCGGGGGUGUUCAGUGCCGGAGAGAAGUUGUUAAGUCUGCUACUUGGGGAGUACGUCCGCAAGGAUGAAACUUAAAGGAAUUGGCGGGGGAGCACCACAACGGGUGGAGCCUGCGGUUUAAUUGGACUCAACGCCGGAAAUCUCACCGGAUAGGACAGACAUAUGAUAGUCGGGCUGAAGACUCUACUUGAUGAUCUG
RNAcentral lists this ribosomal RNA (265 nucleotides) under uncultured archaeon. RNAcentral's name for it is "partial 16S ribosomal RNA". It matches the Rfam family "Archaeal small subunit ribosomal RNA", at positions 717 to 982 of the family's 1478-position model. The record is from RNAcentral.